UCUGUUUAGUACUUCUGUACUCUCUAACCAGUUUCUGUUCUAAAACACUGUCAUGUUUUACUUUCAUACAGGGAAACAGAGAAGGGUAUGUGUGUGUUUUAAAAGAUAUGAAUAUACAGAAGGAUUUAGUUUCCUUAUCAGUUUUGUUUAGACUGAAGACAUGAUCAUUUUGUAUUCCAUUAUUACAGAUUGCAAAUGACAUACAAGAGCUGCGACAGUCGUGUGUGUGUAAAAAGACUCAGAGGCUUGAUCCUCAGCCCUCAAGGCCUUAGCAGCAAAGAUUCCUCAAACACAAACCCUGAAGAUUGCUAAUGUACGUUUACCUGGUUUCUGACUAGCUGACAUCCCUACAGCAACUGCUAGUAACUGUAAUAGAUGACUAGUCUAUGCUUCUUCAAUGAAAAAAAGAUUUGUUUUCUAGCUGUGGUACUGUAUGCAGUUAUGGGGAAAACAAAACACCCCCCAUAAGUUCUUUUUAUAUAUCAGGGACUAAUAACCACUGUUUGGUUCACAGCAACUUCUAGAAACACACUCAGGUGAGAACCAAAAAAAACCACAUUCUGACAUGUAAUCAUUUUUUCCCUAAACAUGAACCAACAUUCUGAACAUUUAGCAUCAUUGUCCUGUUUCAUGACCUGAAAGCUCAGAUUAAACUGCUGGACAGAUGAUCUCAAAUUUCUCAAGAAUAUUCUGGUAAUAAAGUGGACUUCAUCAACUGUCUCACUGACUGCAUGAGUUCCAGGUCCUGUAGAUCAGCAAGCCCAAAUCAUCAUCCCCCCAUGCUUCACAGUUGGUUUAAUCUGCUUACAGAGGCUUAAGAUGUUGCUUUGGGGUUUUCUUUACAUGUCUGAGAAUUAAACAGUGUGAGCUUGGACUGAAUUUGCUGAGACGCUCACUCCUCAGAUAUACAGAGCAGCAGUAUUGAAGAGCAGCUGUAUCUCCCCACAUGUAAACAGUCCUGUAGAAUGAUGAAUUUGAAAUUAUAUAGAGACGGCCUUAUAAUCAUUCACAGACUGAUGAGCAGCAACAGUUUCUCUGAGUCCUGGCUGAUGUCCUUUCUUCUUGGCAUGAUGUAGACACACACACGAGUGAUCCUGUACACCAAACUGCCCAAAGUUCUGCUUUUACAGACAUAGUCACACUUCAUGAUGAUGAACUAAUUUUGUUUAUUUCAUUCGAAACCUGGCUGCUAAUUACUCUCUUAUUAAUGGUGCAGGUAGGAAAGGUGUAUGUAUUUUUGGGGUAUAAAAUGAGUACAGUACCUGAGGUUAUUAGUUUCUUUAUAGAAGUUGGUGAGAACCACACAAUUAUUGUUUAGGUCCUGAUAAAUAAAAAUAUAGAAUUGAAGAAAGGUGUCCUUUUUCCCCAUAACUGUAAGUAACUGAAUGCACUAGUUUGAUCCCCUUAGAGAUUUAUUUUAAAGAUGUGUUAUAUUUUUAUAUUUAAUUUUUUUAAUACACAUUAUUUAUUUAUUUAUUUAUUUAUUUAUUUAUUUAACAAUCCUUUGUGUUAUACUUGAAUCUCUUGUCUUCAUGUGUGCUUUAUCAUUCUAAUCGUUUUUAUUAUUUAAUUGCCAGGUAUUAUGACAGGAUUUUAUGUUAUUGCCUAUUUUAAAACAUAUUGUAGGAUAAAGAUUAGGAUUUAAACUCAGUCUGGCAUUAAAAACAUUUCUUGUAUUGUUUAAUCAUCUGUCAGAUUCACCUGUGAUGUGUGAGGGAUGUGAAAGUAAAAAAAAAAAGUAUGUCUAUAAUUGUGUAUAAUGUUCAGUACAGGAACACAGGAAAUGUCACUGUAUACUUUUCAAACUUCAAAUAAGGUGUAAAGUGUCAAUGACACUGAGAAAGGCACCGAACUUUUACAUGGACAUUUUCAUUUUAGAUAGAUAGAUAGAUAGAUAGAUAGAUAGAUAGAUAGAUAGAUAGAUAGAUAGAUAGAUAGAUAGAUAGAUAGAUAGAUAGAUAGAUAGAUAGAUAGAUAGAUAGAUAGAUAGGUGGGUAGUCUUUUGCCCAGCCUUAAUAUAUAUAUAUUGGUUCUUCUGCAUUUCAAAAGAAUCUAAAAAGCAGCAGGAAUCAUGAUGUGCUGUGUCUUAAAACACUGAAUUCUUUGUAUAUUCUAUGUAAAAUGUGGCAUAUAUGAAUAAAUGAAUCUAAUUGUGAGUACAGAGUAGUAUUCAGUGUAACAGAAAUACAUUCCGUAUAACAAAAAUGUUGCAUGUUGCUUGUUAUUGUUGCCAAAUCUCAUGUACUGGUCCUAUAAUAUAUUCAGUCAUGUGAACACAGUG
Molecule: long non-coding RNA, 2281 nt
Organism: Hemibagrus wyckioides
Lineage: Eukaryota; Metazoa; Chordata; Actinopteri; Siluriformes; Bagridae
Exons: 3
Source: RefSeq, a predicted model, not a curated record